This is a non-coding RNA of Benincasa hispida (wax gourd), 1091 nucleotides long. The record is from RefSeq and is a predicted model, not a curated record. NCBI's taxonomy places the organism in Eukaryota, Viridiplantae, Streptophyta, Magnoliopsida, Cucurbitales, Cucurbitaceae.
AUUUUCCUUCCACCCCGCUUUGAACUGAAAAGCGAUUGCCCAUUGGUUCUCAUUUUCCACAUAUCUCAAACUUUGAGGUUUCAGUUAUCCAUUCCCCUUGAUUUCUCCGGCGACUGGAAAACGAAGCAGAUGAAGAGAUCGUCGAGCGCCUCUGUAGUCUCGGAUAGGGGAUUUGUAGGUCCAUCGUUGUCGUCGUCGCAAUCCGUAAUCUUCAGAUCUUCGAGUGUGAGUUCCGGCUUGGAAUCAGAGCCUUACCUGCCGACGUUCAAUCCGUUCUCUCAUGCGGCCGAGAAAAAACGUCGCCAUCUUAAGCUCGCUAAGAUUUUCGUCCACUCCAUCCCUUUCAUCAUCGUCUUUUGCGCCAUUGUUCUGUGGUUAUUCUCCGAUCCAGGUGAAUAUAUCAGGAGCUUCAACUCAAUUGCUGUCUCUCUUCCUUUCCUUGUACUGCAGUCUGCAAUAGUGUAACUUCACUUUUUGGUGAAUGUAAAACUCUAAACCUCCGGUACUCAUCUAGGAACAGCUGUUGAAGAUUUAGUUACGUAACAAUGCCUAAAAGGUCUUAGAACUCAAGAAGGCACUACCUCAGGUAGCAUCAUUCUAUUUUAGAGUUGUUCUCCUUCUUAGCUACCAUGGCAGCAAGUGAAGUCGCCCUUUUAUGAGAUGUUCUUAGCAUUUAGACAAGUCAUUAUGCUAUGUGUUAGUGAAUAGUGAUGUUAUCUAUUUCACCUCCUGGCUACUGCGUGGUUUGAUAAGAAGGCACUUGAAGAGUGCACCCAUAUUCUUCUCUGACUUGAAUAGUUGUUUUUUUUUAAGCAAAAUAAUUGGGACUGUCAAUAAGCGUUUAGACCAUGGUUGGUGGGAUUCUAUUUAGGAUUUAAUAUCCUAAGAAUAUCCAUGACGACCCGAUGUAUUAGAGGCAAAUAAUUGUCUCGUAAGAAUAUUUGAGGUACAUGUAAACUAGCUCAGGCACUUAUGGAUAUGAAGGAAAAAACAGUAGUGUCAAUAUAAGUUUACAUGGAUAUGUUCAUGAACAGUUGAAAAAUCUUGAAUUGAUAUUUAAUGUGAAGCUUAAGCAGAGCCUGCUACUUUCA